Long non-coding RNA from Equus quagga, 691 nucleotides. RefSeq lists it as uncharacterized. The transcript is spliced from 5 exons. The record is from RefSeq and is a predicted model, not a curated record. Lineage: Eukaryota; Metazoa; Chordata; Mammalia; Perissodactyla; Equidae.
AACACGCGCGCGUGCACGCACGCACGCACACACACAGACACUUACUCUGAGCCCCCGGGCAGCUCCAAGGCAGAGGAAAACUUGUGACCAAAGGCAUGGAGGAAACUGACAAGAAAACAUAGGUUGGAAACAAUGACAUAAAAAGUCCCAAAGAUGACGGAGGUCAUGGAUACUGCAAAAUAAAGAUUUGAGAAACUUGUUCAAAGGAACUGGACUUAUAAACAACCCCAGAGCCCCUGUAGUUGAAGCUCCCAGGCAUCUUUCUCAGCAGGAUGACAGUCUACUGUUUCAAGGGGGUCUUGCACAGCUGGGUUGAAAUAGAGUUUUAAAAAGUGGCAGCCUUAAUAGAAUAUCUCUUUUAGAGGAAAGCAUUUAAUCAAAAUGAGAAGAAUUUUUAUAUGUGAGUAUAAAUAUGUGAACUUCUAUGAGGCCUUCAAUUUUAGGAGAACCAUUCCAAGACAGCAUGACCUACUGACCUAUAGAGUAUUCUCUUUUGGUCUGAUUAUAAAAGUAGUGAAGUGAUAAAAGGGGCCCUCCUUUUCCCACACCAUGGCAGACGCGCAGAGAAACCCUUUCCUGUACAGAACACCUGACAAUGCUGGAUGAAAAUUUAACCACAAUUUUAAGGCUUGGCCAGGUUGGAUGUCCAGACAGGAUAAUCAGCUGAGACUAGAAACAAGAAAGAAGGGCA